GAGUUUGAUCAUGGCUCAGAAUCAACGCUGGCGGCGUGCCUAACACAUGCAAGUCGAGCGCGAAAGUUCCCGCAAGGGGAUGAGUAGAGCGGCGCACGGGUGAGUAACACGUGGGUAACCUACCCUACAGUGGGGAAUAACUCCGCGAAAGCGGGGCUAAUACCGCAUAACACCUCCGGGAUGCCUGUCCUGGAGGUCAAAGGAGCAAUUCGCUGAAGGAGGGGCCCGCGGCCGAUUAGCUAGUUGGUGAGGUAACGGCUCACCAAGGCAAUGAUCGGUAUCCGGCCUGAGAGGGCGCACGGACACACUGGAACUGAAACACGGUCCAGACUCCUACGGGAGGCAGCAGUGGGGAAUUUUGCGCAAUGGGGGAAACCCUGACGCAGCAACGCCGCGUGGAGGAUGAAGGGCUUCGGCUCGUAAACUCCUUUCGAUCGGGACGAGAAGAAGACGGUACUGGAAGAAGAAGCCCCGGCUAACUACGUGCCAGCAGCCGCGGUAAUUC
RNAcentral lists this ribosomal RNA (505 nucleotides) under uncultured bacterium. Its description in RNAcentral is "bacterial SSU rRNA". It matches the Rfam family "Bacterial small subunit ribosomal RNA", at positions 9 to 526 of the family's 1533-position model. The record is from RNAcentral.